GAUGAACGCUGGCGGCGUGCCUAAUACAUGCAAGUAGAACGCUGAAGGAAGGAGCUUGCUCUUUCCGGAUGAGUUGCGAACGGGUGAGUAACGCGUAGGUAACCUGCCUGGUAGCGGGGGAUAACUAUUGGAAACGAUAGCUAAUACCGCAUAACAGUAGAUGUUGCAUGAUAUCUACUUAAAAGGUGCAAUUGCACCACUACCAGAUGGACCUGCGUUGUAUUAGCUAGUUGGUGAGGUAACGGCUCACCAAGGCGACGAUACAUAGCCGACCUGAGAGGGUGAUCGGCCACACUGGGACUGAGACACGGCCCAGACUCCUACGGGAGGCAGCAGUAGGGAAUCUUCGGCAAUGGACGGAAGUCUGACCGAGCAACGCCGCGUGAGUGAAGAAGGUUUUCGGAUCGUAAAGCUCUGUUGUAAGAGAAGAACGAGUGUGGGAGUGGAAAGUUCACACUGUGACGGUAUCUUACCAGAAAGGGACGGCUAACUACGUG
Molecule: ribosomal RNA, 497 nt
Filed under: uncultured bacterium
Lineage: Bacteria
Description: partial 16S ribosomal RNA
Rfam family: Bacterial small subunit ribosomal RNA
Source: RNAcentral